This 502-nucleotide ribosomal RNA is filed under the name uncultured bacterium. RNAcentral describes it as "bacterial SSU rRNA". It matches the Rfam family "Bacterial small subunit ribosomal RNA", at positions 30 to 529 of the family's 1533-position model. The record is from RNAcentral.
AUUGAACGCUGGCGGCAGGCCUAACACAUGCAAGUCGAGCGGUAGAGGGGGCAACCCCUUGAGAGUGGCGAACGGGUGAGUAAUAUAUCGGAACGUGCCCAGUCGUGGGGAUAACGUAGCGAAAGUUACGCUAAUACCGCAUACGAUCUAAGGAUGAAAGCGGGGGACCCGCAAGAGCCUCGCGCGAUUGGAGCGGCCGAUAUCAGAUUAGGUAGUUGGUGGGGUAAAGGCUCACCAAGCCAACGAUCUGUAGCUGGUCUGAGAGGACGACCAGCCACACUGGAACUGAGACACGGUCCAGACUCCUACGGGAGGCAGCAGUGGGGAAUUUUGGACAAUGGACGCAAGUCUGAUCCAGCCAUUCCGCGUGCAGGAUGAAGGCCCUCGGGCUGUAAACUGCUUUGUACGGAACGAAAGGUUUCUAUUAAUACUAGGAGCUCAUGACGGUACCGUAAGAAUAAGCACCGGCUAACUACGUAGCCAGCAGCCGCGGUAAAGUGUA